AUGUUUGCUCUAGCCCAGUACUUCAUAUUCCAGGCUGAGAUGCCUCCCAAUAGUGCAUACAUGAAAAUUCUGCUCCACCUGGUGAGAGAUGAGGAUCCAGUUUUAUUCUCUGGCCUGGUGUUUGCUUCAGCUCAAGAGUUCAAGACCAGCCUGGGCAACAUGGUGAAACUCCAUAUCUCCCUCACCCCAGCAAAAAAAAGUUUACUCCUGCCAACGGUUCAGAGGACAAAUUCAGCGAGGCAGUAUCUGGCUAUGGAGCAGGCUAAAGUGGAGAACCUGGAGAUGGAUAGGUUAGAAGAAAGUAAGAUAAUGAUUACAACAAAAGCAGGGUUCUGUGACAGAAGAAUCCUUGCUGUUGUAGG
Molecule: long non-coding RNA, 362 nt
Filed under: Callithrix jacchus (white-tufted-ear marmoset)
Lineage: Eukaryota; Metazoa; Chordata; Mammalia; Primates; Cebidae
Description: lncRNA (ENSCJAG00000063336.2)
Source: RNAcentral